This 497-nucleotide ribosomal RNA is filed under the name uncultured bacterium. RNAcentral describes it as "partial 16S ribosomal RNA". It matches the Rfam family "Bacterial small subunit ribosomal RNA", at positions 28 to 507 of the family's 1533-position model. The record is from RNAcentral.
GAUGAACGCUGGCGGCGUGCCUAAUACAUGCAAGUAGAACGCUGAAGGAAGGAGCUUGCUCUUUCCGGGUGAGUUGCGAACGGGUGAGUAACGCGUAGGUAACCUCCCUGGUAGCGGGGGAUAACUAUUGGAAACGAUAGCUAAUACCGCAUAACAGAAGAUGUUGCAUGAUAUCUACUUAAAAGGUGCAAUUGCACCACUACCAGAUGGAUCUGCGUUGUAUUAGCUAGUUGGUGAGGUAACGGCUCACCAAGGCGACGAUACAUAGCCCACCUGAGAGGGUGAUCGGCAGCACUGGGACGGGGACACGGCCCAAACUCCUACGGGAGGCAGCAGUCAGGAAUCUUCGGCAAGGGACGGAAGUCUGACCGAGCAACGCCGCGUGAGUGAGGAAGGGUUUCGGAGCGUAAAGCUCUGUUGUCAGAGAAGAGCGAGUGUGAGAGUGGAAAGUACACACUGUGACGGUAUCUUACCAGAAAGGGACGGCUAACUACGUG